AGCAGUCGCCGCGGGAAUACAGAGGGUGCAAGCGUUAAUCGGAAUUACUGGGCGUAAAGCGCGCGUAGGUGGUUUGUUAAGUUGGAUGUGAAAGCCCCGGGCUCAACCUGGGAACUGCAUCCAAAACUGGCAAGCUAGAGUACGGUAGAGGGUGGUGGAAUUUCCUGUGUAGCGGUGAAAUGCGUAGAUAUAGGAAGGAACACCAGUGGCGAAGGCGACCACCUGGACUGAUACUGACACUGAGGUGCGAAAGCGUGGGGAGCAAACAGGAUUAGAUACCCCAGUAGUCCCUGUCUCUUAUAA
RNAcentral lists this ribosomal RNA (303 nucleotides) under uncultured bacterium. RNAcentral describes it as "partial 16S ribosomal RNA". It matches the Rfam family "Bacterial small subunit ribosomal RNA", at positions 507 to 809 of the family's 1533-position model. The record is from RNAcentral.